GUUAAAGUGGAUUUCGCGCUCUUGCUUAAUAAUCUAAGCAGCGUCAACACAGUAACGACGGCUAAAAUCAGACUGGUGUGUCCCCGUUCUCUUGACUAUCUAGAUUCCUAUGAAGAAAGGAGAAAUCGAAAACGUGGUGGAAAGGCACGAAGUCUGCUUCACGGGCUGAUCAAAUUUAUCAAGGAAAUAGUACUGAGGUGCAAGGGACUAGGCCACGAAGAGAGAGAGUCUGUUCCAUCAAGGAGCCUGCUGUCUUGAGGUGGAUGUAGCCAGGCCCUUACAAACAACUGAGAAACUCUGCAUGAGAGGUACAGGCCCGAAGGAAAGGACAGCUCAGUCCUGGAACUGACCUCUGUGUCAGCCGCUGGAAAGCUUUUUCUGACUUCCUCAUCCAUCAGAGGUAGCCGCUCCCUCUCUGAGCUCCAGCAGGACCGUGUCUGUAACAGUGACUAGCCUGACUUCCGGCAUGUUGGCCACGGCUCGGACCGCGCACCUGUUAGCGCGCAAGGCCGUGGGGCCGCAGAAAUCCAAGACUUGAGGUUCUCCUGCAGAACUGCCAUCGACAGCUUGAGGCUCCAUCCCCCCUCCCAGGAAAGAUGGCAAAUGUGGGCUUGCUGGCACAAAAGAAGGAAAUUAAAGC
This 640-nucleotide long non-coding RNA is filed under the name Equus caballus (horse). RNAcentral describes it as "lncRNA (ENSECAG00000052665.1)". The record is from RNAcentral. Lineage: Eukaryota; Metazoa; Chordata; Mammalia; Perissodactyla; Equidae.